GGGUGAGUAACGCGUAUCCAACCUGCCCACCACUUGGGGAUAACCUUGCGAAAGUAAGACUAAUACCCAAUGAUAUCUCUAGAAGACAUCUGAAAGAGAUUAAAGAUUUAUCGGUGAUGGAUGGGGAUGCGUCUGAUUAGCUUGUUGGCGGGGUAACGGCCCACCAAGGCAACGAUCAGUAGGGGUUCUGAGAGGAAGGUCCCCCACAUUGGAACUGAGACACGGUCCAAACUCCUACGGGAGGCAGCAGUGAGGAAUAUUGGUCAAUGGACGAGAGUCUGAACCAGCCAAGUAGCGUGCAGGAUGACGGCCCUAUGGGUUGUAAACUGCUUUUAUAAGGGAAUAAAGUGAGUCUCGUGAGACUUUUUGCAUGUACCUUAUGAAUAAGGACCGGCUAAUUCCGUGCCAGCAGCCGCGGUAAUACGGAAGGUCCGGGCGUUAUCCGGAUUUAUUGGGUUUAAAGGGAGCGUAGGCCGGAGAUUAAGCGUGUUGUGAAAUGUAGACGCUCAACGUCUGCACUGCAGCGCGAACUGGUUUCCUUGAGUACGCACAAAGUGGGCGGAAUUCGUGGUGUAGCGGUGAAAUGCUUAGAUAUCACGAAGAACUCCGAUUGCGAAGGCAGCUCACUGGAGCGCAAC
This 638-nucleotide ribosomal RNA is filed under the name uncultured bacterium. RNAcentral describes it as "bacterial SSU rRNA". It matches the Rfam family "Bacterial small subunit ribosomal RNA", at positions 104 to 740 of the family's 1533-position model. The record is from RNAcentral.